Molecule: long non-coding RNA, 1168 nt
Filed under: Equus asinus (donkey)
Lineage: Eukaryota; Metazoa; Chordata; Mammalia; Perissodactyla; Equidae
Description: lncRNA (ENSEASG00005029803.1)
Source: RNAcentral
CAUGGGUCCUGUCCCCAUGCAGCAGUUCUCACUGCCCAUGGGUCCUGUCCCCAUGCCGGCAGCAGCAUUUUACUGCCCAUGGGUCCUGUCCCCAUGCUAUUCCACGCUAUUCUCUAAAUAAAAGAGCACUAGUGCCAGACCUUGAGAGUCCAAGAAAUCUUUCUUUUGACUCCUUGACUCGCCAACCCUGCAUCAUUUCUGGCAGCCCAUACGGGGAUCUUGCUUCAUCAGCUUGUGAGCUCAAGCUCUGCUAAGUGCCCUUUUUUCCUUGUGCCUUUCUCUUUUUCAAGGAUGGAUCUAAAUUCACUUCUCCAUUGGGAAAUUUCUUGGACAGCAGUAUGAAUCCACGUUUCCUGCCCAUGGCUACUCUAUGGGGCAAAUCAUGGCAUUCAGCUUGAAGAGAAUCAGUACCUUAAGCCUGAAGAUUUAAAGAACCCUCUCUCUCUCUUUCUCUCUCUCUUUUUGCAUCAUCUAUAACUCACAGCCAUUUGGUAAAAUAUGCCUUUAUAAACAAAGGUUAAAACAUUUAUCUUUUUCCCUCUACUUGAUCUUUGCAGAAUUUAAAAACACUUAUUAAAUAUUCUUAUUUUUCAUGCUAAUAUAGAUGUUUGCAUAAAUUGAAAAAUAAUCUGCUUUCCUUGUAACAGAACACAAUUAGGCAAGUCCUUAGCAUAGCUUCUUAGCCUAAAGAGACUUUUAAAGAUCUAAUCUAAGAUUCUUUAUUGCCAGAUGGUUUUAAAGAACAAACGUUGACUUUAUGGAACCUAUAAAGUCCCUUGGAGAAUACCAAAGCUUUGACGGGAAUAUCAUAUUUGAGAAUAUGCAUAAAAGAUUAUUCUUACUACAUUUAUGUAAAUCAUCUGCCAAGUUUAUUGAGACUAGACUGAUUUUACAAACAAAGUAGUCUUACUGUGAUUAUCUUUGGCAAAAAUGAAUGACAUUAGAGAGAAAUUUGUUUCAAUAGAAAACUAUAAUGUCCCCAUGAUGAGAUUCUAGACAUGUUCAUUGUCUGAGUUUUUGUUAUAUACUUACAAACUGGACUGGAUCAUGAAUUCUUCUAGUUUCCUCCAGUAUUUGGCUGCAACUCUUCAGACUAGCUUUUCCAAUUUUCUUCUACUCUUCUGACUUGCAAUCACUAAAAAUGAAAACGACCCUUUUCCCAAAGUCC